This 454-nucleotide ribosomal RNA is filed under the name uncultured Bacteroides sp. RNAcentral describes it as "partial 16S ribosomal RNA". It matches the Rfam family "Bacterial small subunit ribosomal RNA", at positions 341 to 792 of the family's 1533-position model. The record is from RNAcentral. Lineage: Bacteria; Pseudomonadati; Bacteroidota; Bacteroidia; Bacteroidales; Bacteroidaceae.
ACGGGAGGCAGCAGUGAGGAAUAUUGGUCAAUGGGCGGAAGCCUGAACCAGCCAAGUCGCGUGAAGGAUGAAGGUAUUAUGUAUUGUAAACUUCUUUAGACGCAGAGAAAUAAGGCGCUCGAGAGCGCUGAUGCUAGUAUGCGUAGAAUAAGGAUCGGCUAACUCCGUGCCAGCAGCCGCGGUAAUACGGAGGAUCCGAGCGUUAUCCGGAUUUAUUGGGUUUAAAGGGAGCGUAGGCGGGAUGUCAAGUCAGCUGUGAAAUGUAGUCGCUCAACGUCUGCACUGCAGUUGAAACUGGUGUUCUUGAGUGCGUAAGAGGCAGGUGGAAUUCGUCGUGUAGCGGUGAAAUGCUUAGAUAUGACGAAGAACUCCGAUUGCGAAGGCAGCCUGCUGGGCCGCGACUGACGCUGAAGCUCGAAGGUGCGGGUAUCAAACAGGAUUAGAUACCCUGGUA